RNAcentral lists this ribosomal RNA (506 nucleotides) under uncultured bacterium. RNAcentral's name for it is "partial 16S ribosomal RNA". It matches the Rfam family "Bacterial small subunit ribosomal RNA", at positions 29 to 523 of the family's 1533-position model. The record is from RNAcentral.
AGUGAACGCUGGCGGUAGGCCUAACACAUGCAAGUCGAACGGCAGCACAGGAGAGCUUGUUCUCUGGGUGGCGAGUGGCGGACGGGUGAGGAAUACAUCGGAAUCUACUCUGUCGUGGGGGAUAACGUAGGGAAACUUACGCUAAUACCGCAUACGACCUACGGGUGAAAGCAGGGGAUCUUCGGACCUUGCGCAAUUGAAUGAGCCGAUGUCGGAUUAGCUAGUUGGCGGGGUAAAGGCCCACCAAGGCGACGAUCCGUAGCUGGUCUGAGAGGAUGAUCAGCCACACUGGAACUGAGACACGGUCCAGACUCCUACGGGAGGCAGCAGUGGGGAAUAUUGGACAAUGGGCGCAAGCCUGAUCCAGCCAUACCGCGUGGGUGAAGAAGGCCUUCGGGUUGUAAAGCCCUUUUGUUGGGAAAGAAAUCCAGCUGGCUAAUACCCGGUUGGGAUGACGGUACCCAAAGAAUAAGCACCGGCUAACUUCGUGCCAGCAGCCGCCGUAA